Mytilus californianus (California mussel) is the source of this 374-nucleotide long non-coding RNA. RefSeq lists it as uncharacterized. NCBI's taxonomy places the organism in Eukaryota, Metazoa, Mollusca, Bivalvia, Mytilida, Mytilidae. The transcript has 4 exons. The record is from RefSeq and is a predicted model, not a curated record.
UUUAAUCCUGUUCUGUCAUUUCAACGUAGCGCAUGAUGAAUCUGUUGGUUUGGUUAAUAGUGGCCUUUAAUCUGGGUUUAUGUUUAAAUACACCUAUCAAAAAAUCAAGUUUCAUUGGUGGUCCAAUGAUGGACCGAGGGUACUGGGUAGACAGGCGAUGCAGAUCUUAUAAAGGAGUGUGUAUAGAAGUUGACAAUCCUUGUGAAGGGAAAGUUAUUACAGGAUAUGGACUAUGCCAUGGUCGCCAUAUAAAGAAAUGCUGUGCCUACUUUUGAUAGACACAAGGUUAGAUCUUUAAAAUGAGAAAGAAAGGACGGAACUUGAUCGAUGGUUUUACAGUUAAAAAUUUACCACAUUAAAACUAAUUUCUUAUA